This 231-nucleotide ribosomal RNA is filed under the name uncultured bacterium. RNAcentral's name for it is "partial 16S ribosomal RNA". It matches the Rfam family "Bacterial small subunit ribosomal RNA", at positions 118 to 350 of the family's 1533-position model. The record is from RNAcentral.
UGGGUGAUCUGCCCUGCACUUCGGGAUAAGCCUGGGAAACUGGGUCUAAUACCGGAUAUGACCUUGGGAUGCAUGUCCUUUGGUGGAAAGCUUUUGCGGUGUGGGAUGGGCCUGCGGCCUAUCAGCUUGUUGGUGGGGUUAAGGCCUACCAAGGCGACGACGGGUAGCCGGCCUGAGAGGGUGACCGGCCACACUGGGACUGAGAUACGGCCCAGACUCCUACGGGAGGCA